CCACAUAAGAGUUUGUUCUUUGGACAGUAGAAUUGAAAAAGCUCCAUUUCUUUAAUAUUUUCCUGCUGCCAUAGCUUCCCCCUUGUCCUUUUUGGGUACUGCUGCAGCACCCAGAGUCCUGAGCCUCUGAUUUUCACAAAAUGUGCAAGAAUGCACUAUUUUAAGACCUCUGUUCUGCCCUUAAGCUCAGUUAAAAUUAGCUGAUCGGUUGAGGAGAGCGAGAAGGCUGACAGGCAGAUAGCACGUGUUUAAUUUCAUUAUGAAAUGAGGCUAAAAGGGGCUCUGGAGGGGAUUCUCUGGUGUGCUGUACUGGUGCCUGGCUGCAGGGGUGGGACAGAAAGCAGCUUCCCCACAUCUUCAGCUGAGUGUACUGUCAGUGUGAGGGACAGCAGGAACAGGGGAGCUGGGCUCGUGCAGGGACAUGCUGCAAGUGGCCACUCAGUGGUGUUUUCUCCUUGCCCGAUGUGCAGAGCUGUGCUUCCACAGCGAAUAUUUGCUAUAUUCCAGCAAAACAAUUAAUUUUGUUUUGGGCUUUUUUCUAACACUCAUCACAGCAGCGUGCGAGUGCUUCACUAACGUUGGUUUCUCUCAGGAACAGCGUGGGGGGAGUAGGGUUCUAUAAUAUCCAUUCCUUCGCAAGGGAAAUGAGAUGUUUUGUGUCAAAAGCAUCCUCUGGCGUUGACUGCCCUCUUCUGAGGUGCCCCGGACACAUUUCCUCAAACUGUUUGGCGUUACACAUCAUUUCAUUCCCAUCAAAUCACAGCUCUUACUCUCCGCAGUUGCAGUUAGAAAUGCUUGAAACUUCUGUAUUUCAAACCCUGGGCCUCAGUUUGUUACACGGGGGAAAAAAAAACAAACAAAUAUAUCAGCAGUAUUAUGGCAUAACUGAACUGGGAACUGUACGCUGCUGGCUGGGAAGGAAGCCAAUUAGAAAGAUUUGAUUGCUUUAAUGAUAGACAGUCCAUUCUCUUCCUGCAGCCUCCUGCUUGGAUUUCUGCCCAGGCAGAGGGAACUUGGUGACCUGGGACCUCGGGCCUCGUGUCACCCCUCGGCGUUGGGACCUCUGGGCAGUUCUGCUGUGUCUGCCCUCCAAGGACACGGGCAGUGCGACCCUCCUGUGAAGCAAGACCUUGUGGGAAAGAGGUACCCAUGUAACAGAAGAGUUUCACAGUAUGGACAGGGGACAGCAUUACUGUUGAAUUCUCUAAUCUGGAAACCCCCUAUUUUCCUGAUAUUUAAAUUUGAAAUCUAAUAGUAUCUCAAGGUAUGACGUUUAUCUAAUUUUUAAAGAUAGAAUAGAAAAAAAAAAGAGGGAAAAUUAAAUACGUAGUGUUCAUGAAUGCCUCAUGAGGGGCAUUUAAGUUUGAUGCAAUGAAUUUUGGACAGUUUCUUGACAUCCGAGCCCCUGCACUGCUGAAGUCAAUGGCCAUCCACGCUGUUGACCAGCAGGGAAGGCCACGGCAUUCCCGACUUUUCAGUCUCACAGCCAAGAAUCAAUUUUUGUAGGACUAAAAACUGCGUGUCCCUCACACACCGAGCUCUGGUUGUGGUCUCUUAGAACUCCUAGAUUUCCCAUUCCCAUCUCCACACCUAAAGCUACUCUUCCCAAUACUAUUUUAGCUGGUUUAGCUUGCUGAUUCUGUUAAAAAAAACUGUCUCCGCUCUGUCACUCCCCCCCGACCCCCCGGGCCGCCUUUAGCCCUCAUCUCUCCCCUCAUCCAGUUUGCCCCAAAGCGCCACAAAAUUUAGAUUGGAUUCAUGAUGGAGAAAUCGUAGAAAUAAGUGGCAAGAAAAAUCAUUUAAAAUAGAUAAUUCUCCUGAAACAGGCAAACUUCUGCCAAGUAUGGCAAGUUGUACACAGCAAAACCCUCCUCAGUGGGCACAUCCCGUGGCUGUCCUGGGGCUCCAGCAGUGCUGGGAC
RNAcentral lists this long non-coding RNA (1921 nucleotides) under Calidris pugnax (ruff). RNAcentral's name for it is "lncRNA (ENSCPUG00000006061.1)". Lineage: Eukaryota; Metazoa; Chordata; Aves; Charadriiformes; Scolopacidae. The record is from RNAcentral.